Peromyscus maniculatus bairdii (prairie deer mouse) is the source of this 1058-nucleotide non-coding RNA. Lineage: Eukaryota; Metazoa; Chordata; Mammalia; Rodentia; Cricetidae. The record is from RefSeq and is a predicted model, not a curated record.
CCUCUUCCAACUCCAGGGCUUGCACACUUAAUGCAGAGACUAACAUCAAGAAAACACCAUGAAUCUUCAGCUCAAGAGAAGGAAUCAUGGGGAAGAUCUAUAAACCUACUUUCAAACUGGAUUCCAACAUUGAUUGGCAUCACCAGGAGUUUCUUGGGAAAGCAGAGUCUCAGUUCCGCAUUAGACCUACUGAAUCAAACCUUCAUUUCUACAUGAGCACCCAAGAAAGCACCAUGCAGGUACCAGAUUGCUGUAACAUGGUUUUGACAAUCGAGAACUGGUGCACUGGUCUAGCCUUCUGCUAUUAUGGAAUCACUCUCAACAGCAUUUAGGGUCGAAUUUGAUCACCGUACUAAAGGAUUUGUAAUCGCAAAUGUAGUCUCAUGUUCCAAAUCACUGGAAAAUCUGCGUGGAAGACAUGAAACCUGGGCCUAGUGGUGUAGGCCUAUAAUCCUGGAGACCUAGCAGGCAGAGUCGGGAGUUCAAGUCCAAGACCUGCUCCACUAUAGAUGGACAGUGGCUGCUGCAGAGACUCAGGACUAUUCAAAGUGCUGAGGAGGAUAAGAAAAUUUUGAAUGCUCAGCCAUAAAUGGAACAUCUGUAUUACUCCACCCAAGGCUUGGAGACAUUGAGGAACAGAGGAGGAACGAAGUAAGGUCUGGAGGAUAGGGUGGGACUUUGUGGAAUACUGACUUCCAAGUAUGACACUGCCAUUGUAUGCCUAAACUCACAAAGGCUGUUACCAUCUACACAAAGUCUGCACAAAAUUGAGCUCAUUGAAGUCCUGUCAUGGACGAGAAAGGGGUUCAUGAAACUCUACCAUUUGCUGAGCAUCUAGAAACAGCUGAUAACUGCUGAAGAGGAAAAGAUGUUUUCCUCAGUAUGGAAAGCUGCUGGUGAGGUUUCCAUGUUCUUGUAGACAACCUUCACCUUGCUCCUAUUCAUUGGGUCACAAAGAAACAAAAAGACAUAAAAGCUGAAGGAUUAGUUGGGAAGGGAAAGGGGAUGAGUGGGAGUUAAUGGGGUUGAAUAUAAUAAACCAAUUAUAUACAUGUAUG